AACGAACGCUGGCGGCGUGCUUAACACAUGCAAGUCUAGGGGAAUUCGCUUUCGGGCGAUAGUACACUGGCGAACGGGUGAGUAACGCGUGAGAAACCUACCCCGGAGAUUGGGACAACACAGAGAAAUUUGUGCUAAUACCGGAUAAGCCCACGGGUUUAGUUAUUUGUGGGAAAAGACGGGGCAACCUGUCGCUUUGGGAUGGUCUCGCGUGUCAUUAGCUAGUUGGUAGGGUAACGGCCUACCAAGGCAACGAUGACUAGGCGGCCUGAGAGGGUGGCCGCCCACACUGGAACUGAGACACGGUCCAGACUCCUACGGGAGGCAGCAGUGGGGAAUUUUGCGCAAUGACCGAAAGGUUGACGCAGCAACGCCGCGUGUAUGAUGAAGGCUUUCGGGUCGUAAAGUACUUUCAGUGGGGAAGAACUGCAUAAUCAGUAACUGGGUUAUGAUUGACGGUACCCACAGAAGCAGCCCCGGCUAACUCCGUG
Molecule: ribosomal RNA, 491 nt
Filed under: uncultured bacterium
Lineage: Bacteria
Description: bacterial SSU rRNA
Rfam family: Bacterial small subunit ribosomal RNA
Source: RNAcentral